UUCCAACCAACGUUCAGCCUCUUCUUCAGCCACCAGCCAGCCGCGUGUGACCCGCACCACCAGCCACCUCUGACGCCGCCGACGCUGAACAACCAGCCACGCGUCUCCUCUGCAAGUGCUUUCACGCUAUAUGAUACGGAAAAAGGAAAAAGAGUUGUAAGUCUAAAGUAUUAUAGUCCAAAAUGCUGACAACAACCAAAAACCACAGAGUGCAGUAUCUACUGCAUGAAGUAUGCUAGGGAUCUCAUUUCACAACAAAGAACCAGAGCAUAUCUAUCAAAUAAUUUCAAUUCAGAUUUACCAUAUACUGACGCUGAACUUAAUGAAGUUCAAGAAGAGUGGGCAAAAUAUAUUCUACCGCAUCUCGUUAAAUGAUGGCAUGCAUGCUUAGUACCUAUGUGAGGGGAUUUAUUCAUUUUUUGAACUUUCUAUUUCUUUUAUUAGAAAUUGUUAGAACUAAUCAAAUACA
Molecule: long non-coding RNA, 469 nt
Organism: Humulus lupulus (European hop)
Lineage: Eukaryota; Viridiplantae; Streptophyta; Magnoliopsida; Rosales; Cannabaceae
Exons: 4
Source: RefSeq, a predicted model, not a curated record